CAGCAGCCGCGGUAAUACGUAGGUGGCAAGCGUUGUCCGGAAUUAUUGGGCGUAAAGGGCUCGCAGGCGGUUUCUUAAGUCUGAUGUGAAAGCCCCCGGCUCAACCGGGGAGGGUCAUUGGAAACUGGGAAACUUGAGUGCAGAAGAGGAGAGUGGAAUUCCACGUGUAGCGGUGAAAUGCGUAGAGAUGUGGAGGAACACCAGUGGCGAAGGCGACUCUCUGGUCUGUAACUGACGCUGAGGAGCGAAAGCGUGGGGAGCGAACAGGAUUAGAUACCCCGGUAGUCCCUGUCUCUUAUAA
RNAcentral lists this ribosomal RNA (301 nucleotides) under uncultured bacterium. Its description in RNAcentral is "partial 16S ribosomal RNA". It matches the Rfam family "Bacterial small subunit ribosomal RNA", at positions 509 to 809 of the family's 1533-position model. The record is from RNAcentral.